This 465-nucleotide ribosomal RNA is filed under the name uncultured bacterium. RNAcentral's name for it is "partial 16S ribosomal RNA". It matches the Rfam family "Bacterial small subunit ribosomal RNA", at positions 28 to 507 of the family's 1533-position model. The record is from RNAcentral.
GACGAACGCUGGCGGCGUGCUUAACACAUGCAAGUCGAACGGAAAGGCCCUGCUUGCAGGGUACUCGAGUGGCGAACGGGUGAGUAACACGUGGGUGAUCUGCCCUGCACUUCGGGAUAAGCCUGGGAAACUGGGUCUAAUACCGGAUAGGAGCCAUUCUUAGUGUGAUGGUUGGAAAGAUUUUUCGGUGUAGGAUGAGCUCGCGGCCUAUCAGCUUGUUGGUGGGGUAAUGGCCUACCAAGGCGGCGACGGGUAGCCGGCCUGAGAGGGUGGACGGCCACAUUGGGACUGAGAUACGGCCCAGACUCCUACGGGAGGCAGCGGUGGGGAAUAUUGCACAAUGGGCGCAAGCCUGAUGCAGCGACGCCGCGUGGGGGAUGACGGCCUUCGGGUUGUAAACUCCUUUCGCUAGGGACGAAGCUUUUUGUGACGGUACCUAGAUAAGAAGCACCGGCUAACUACGUG